This 468-nucleotide ribosomal RNA is filed under the name uncultured bacterium. RNAcentral describes it as "partial 16S ribosomal RNA". It matches the Rfam family "Bacterial small subunit ribosomal RNA", at positions 28 to 507 of the family's 1533-position model. The record is from RNAcentral.
GACGAACGCUGGCGGCGUGCUUAACACAUGCAAGUCGAACGGACAGGCCCUGCUUUUGUGGGGUGCUCGAGUGGCGAACGGGUGAGUAAAACGUGAGUAACCUGCCCUUGACUUUGGGAUAACUUCAGGAAACUGGGGAUAAUACCGGAUAGGAGCUCCUGCUGCAUGGUGGGGGUUGGAAAGUUUCGGCGGUUGGGGAUGGAUUCGCUGCUUAUCAGCUUGUUGGUGAGGUAGGGGCUUACCAAGGCUUUGACGGGUAGCCGGCCUGAGAGGGUGGACGGCGACAUGGGUACUAAGGUACGGACCAGACGGCUACGGGAGGCAGCAGGGGGGAACAUUGCACAGUGAGCGGAAGCCUGAUGCAGAAACCCCGCGUGCGUGAUGACGGCCUUCGGGUUGUAAACCGAUUUCGCCGGUGACGAAGAGGGAGUGACGGUAAUGGGUAAAGAAGCACCGGCUAACUACGUG